RNAcentral lists this non-coding RNA (29 nucleotides) under Mus musculus (house mouse). The record is from RNAcentral. Lineage: Eukaryota; Metazoa; Chordata; Mammalia; Rodentia; Muridae.
UGAUAAACUUCCCAGUUGUUUAGUUGUGU